AGUGAACGCUGGCGGUAGGCCUAACACAUGCAAGUCGAACGGCAGCACAGUAAGAGCCUGCUCUUACGGGUGGCGAGUGGCGGACGGGUGAGGAAUACAUCGGAAUCUACUUUUUCGUGGGGGAUAACGUAGGGAAACUUACGCUAAUACCGCAUACGACCUACGGGUGAAAGCAGGGGAUCUUCGGACCUUGCGCGAUUGAAUGAGCCGAUGUCGGAUUAGCUAGUUGGCGGGGUAAAGGCCCACCAAGGCGACGAUCCGUAGCUGGUCUGAGAGGAUGAAAGGCACAAGUGGAACUAAGAGAGGGCCCGGACCCCUAGGGGAGGCAGAGGUGGGGAUUUUUGAAGAAUGGCGCCAAGCCUGAACCACCAAUACCGGGGGGAUAAAGAAGGCCUUCGGUUUGAAACCCCUUUUUGUGGGAAAAAAAAAACAGCGGUUAAAUACCCCCCUGUCCGGGGGAUACCAAAAAAAAAACCCCGGACUAGCUUGGUG
Molecule: ribosomal RNA, 492 nt
Filed under: uncultured bacterium
Lineage: Bacteria
Description: partial 16S ribosomal RNA
Rfam family: Bacterial small subunit ribosomal RNA
Source: RNAcentral